This 1487-nucleotide long non-coding RNA is filed under the name Sorghum bicolor (sorghum). Its description in RNAcentral is "long non-coding RNA (SBIC_LNC014325)". Lineage: Eukaryota; Viridiplantae; Streptophyta; Magnoliopsida; Poales; Poaceae. The record is from RNAcentral.
CUCAGCACCGUUAAAGCAAUCAUCUAUAUUGGAACCAGAGAAGUCCACAUACACUUCCCCUCUGAGAAGGUACACCGCUAUUUUACUGACCCUAACUAUAUACUUGAAGACUCUAAGCAGGCCAGGACAAGAAGAAGACAACGGAACCGCAACUAGAGGAGGCAAAUCAUCAAGGACGGACGGGCAGACUACGAAGGAGAAGUGGUAAGGUCUGAAGACAUACAGCUUGAACAGAACUGUCUUGAGGAGACCGUAGCACCAAGUUAGGUGUGGAGAGAAAAGAUAGUUAUACACGAAGAGGAGGCGCCGCCGGAACCACUGACUACGCCAUCCAGCGAAUCCCAGGAUGACUGAGAAAACGCAGAGUCCCGUUCGGAGGACUUAAAAACACCGAACGCCUUGCCAAGAGGUAAACUUGGUAGUUGUCCUUUUCAUUUCAAUUAUUUAAAAUAGUUUGCUUAGUUAAUCAGGUUCAUAUCAUCUUGAAAAGAAAAUAAAAAUGUUAAAAAUAGUAAGCCCCAUGUGAGUAUGCUCAUGGAGUAAAACCCAUAUGUACAUUCACUGUGGUGGCGUAAAAAUAAAAUAAAUAUAUUCCUGUCAUAUAAAAAUGAAAAUAUAAAAGUAAAUUUAUGAUCCUACCAAAGAGAGUAAUAUUUAUUAGAGGAAGCUCAAAAUGAUAACGGCUAAGAGAUUUUAUGCUAACACUGGAGGACAUCCACAAAGCUUUGUUGUCUAUUUGAGCUCCACAAAAUUCAAGGAUCAAAGAAGACUAGCAGACGGAGGACAUCCUAUAUCGCUGUCAGGGUGCUGCCGACAUUCAAAUACACCUUCGCCACCUGCUAGCUAUAUCAGAAGAAAUUACAUUAAAAUCCAGCAUGGGGGAGAGCACCCCCAUUUAUCCAGCUAAGUGUUUAUAUUCACGUUUAUACUUUACUCAAACAAUAAAAAGAUGCAUAAUCAUAAAAACUCAAAUAAAGAUUUUGUGCUUAUAUAUAUAUCUUUGCUUAGUUUGCUAAAUAAAUAAAUAAAUAAAGUUUGCUAUGAACCCUCAUGAUCAGUGUUGGGUAUUCUUAACAUCAUUACCAAAAGUAGACUAAGUUCUCUAAAUCUAGUAACGGUGCCAAAAAUGCCAAACCUAUCCCUCAUACCACUUAUGCCAAGUUGUCAUCCCCAGCAUGAUAUAAGAGACGCGGUAUUGAAAUAUGCAAUUGCUCUUCUAAAUAAAUAAUGAAUGGGAUCUGCAAGCGCACAGAUUAAUACUGAUGCAGCAUUUUAACCGGGAAGUAUUCCAGGUAUCGUUAUUUAUAUUUUUACCACUGGGAAGGGAUUAACAAUCAUCAAUAUUGAUUACAGAAUAGAAUAUGAGAUUGAGCAUCUAUCAUUGCAUGUAUAAUUGAGAACAUUAUAUCUAACUCUUCAUACAGGGAUAAGUGUCACAUAAAAGAUAUAUGAAGUAAUAAUAGUGACAAGGAUAACUAAUCUGAUCU